GACGAAGGAUGCAAGCGUUAUCCGGAUUCAUUGGGUUUAAAGGGAGCGUAGGCGGCCAGAUAAGUCAGUGGUGAAAUCCUGUUGCUUAACAACAGAACUGCCAUUGAUACUGUUUGGCUUGAGUACAGUUGCUGUGGGCGGAAUAUGACAUGUAGUGGUGAAAUACAUAGAGAUGUCAUAGAACACCGAUUGCGAAGGCAGCUCACAAAGCUGUAACUGACGCUGAGGCUCGAAAGUGUGGGGAUCAAACAGG
Molecule: ribosomal RNA, 253 nt
Filed under: uncultured bacterium
Lineage: Bacteria
Description: partial 16S ribosomal RNA
Rfam family: Bacterial small subunit ribosomal RNA
Source: RNAcentral